GACGAACCGUGCGAACGUUAUUCGGAAUCACUGGGCUUAGAGGGCGCGUAGGCGGGCGGCCAAGUCAGGGGUGAAAGCCCCCAGCUCAACUGGGGAAGUGCCUUUGAUACUGGUUGUCUCGAGGGAGGUAGGGGCGUGCGGAACUUCCGGUGGAGCGGUGAAAUGCGUAGAUAUCGGAAGGAACGCCGGUGGCGAAAGCGGCGCGCUGGACCUCUUCUGACGCUGAGGCGCGAAAGCUAGGGGAGCAAACGGG
Molecule: ribosomal RNA, 253 nt
Filed under: uncultured bacterium
Lineage: Bacteria
Description: partial 16S ribosomal RNA
Rfam family: Bacterial small subunit ribosomal RNA
Source: RNAcentral